AAACUCCGCAAUGGUGGAAACACCGACGGGGGAACUCCCAGUGCCAGCGCAUAGCGUUGGCUUUUCUCGAGCCUAAACAGCUCGGGGAAUAAGGGCUGGGUAAGACGGGUGCCAGCCGCCGCGGUAAUACCCGCAGCUCAAGCGGUCGCCGCUAUUAUUGGGCCUAAAGCGUCCGUAGCCGGCCUUCUAAAUGCCUGGGUAAAUCGGACGGCUUAACCGUUCGAAUUCCGGGUAGACUGGGAGGCUUGGGACCGGGAGAGGCUGGAGGUACUCCGGGGGUAGGGGUGAAAUCCUGUAAUCCCCGGGGGACCACCGGUGGCGAAGGCGUCCAGCUAGAACGGAUCCGACGGUGAGGGACGAAGCCUCGGGGAGCAAACCGGAUUAGAUACCCGGGUAGUCCGAGGUGUAAACGCUGCGGGCUUGGUGUCGGGGAUCCUGCGUGGGUACCCGGUGCCGGAGUGAAGACGUUAAGCCCGCCGCCUGGGGAGUACGGCCGCAAGGUUGAAACUUAA
Molecule: ribosomal RNA, 512 nt
Filed under: uncultured archaeon
Lineage: Archaea
Description: bacterial SSU rRNA
Rfam family: Archaeal small subunit ribosomal RNA
Source: RNAcentral